Molecule: ribosomal RNA, 439 nt
Filed under: uncultured eukaryote
Lineage: Eukaryota
Description: bacterial SSU rRNA
Rfam family: Eukaryotic small subunit ribosomal RNA
Source: RNAcentral
AUUACUUCUAAGGAAGGCAGCAGGCGCGUAAAUUACCCAAUCCUAAUACGGGGAGGUAGUGACAAGAAAUAUUGAUAUUGGACCCAAAGGGUACAAUGAAUUGAAAUGAGAACAAUAUAAAAAACUUAACGACUAACAAUUGGAGGGCAAGUCUGGUGCCAGCAGCCGCGGUAAUUCCAGCUCCAAGAGUGUAUAUUAAAGUUGUUGCGGUUAAAAAGCUCGUAGUUGAAUUUCUGAAAAUAAUCUUGUGAUUGAUUUAACCGUCAUGAACAAAAAUUGUUUACAUACUUGAUAGAUGGAAACAUUUAUCUUAAUGACUUUGAAAAAUUAGAGUGUUCAAAGCAUGAUUCACAUUUGAAUAAUACAGCAUGGGAUAAUAUAAUAUGACAUUAGUUAAAAUUUGUUGGUUUCUUUGGCUAAUGUAAUGAUUAAAAGGGAC